AUUGAACGCUGGCGGCAUGCUUUACACAUGCAAGUCGAACGGCAGCGCGGGGGCAACCCUGGCGGCGAGUGGCGAACGGGUGAGUAAUAUAUCGGAACGUGCCCAGUCGUGGGGGAUAACGCAGCGAAAGUUGUGCUAAUACCGCAUACGAUCUAUGGAUGAAAGCGGGGGAUCGCAAGACCUCGCGCGAUUGGAGCGGCCGAUAUCAGAUUAGGUUGUUGGUGAGGUAAAAGCUCACCAAGCCUGCGAUCUGUAGCUGGUCUGAGAGGACGACCAGCCACACUGGAACUGAGACACGGUCCAGACUCCUACGGGAGGCAGCAGUGGGGAAUUUUGGACAAUGGACGCAAGUCUGAUCCAGCAAUGCCGCGUGCAGGACGAAGGCCUUCGGGUUGUAACUGCUUUUGUACAGAACGAAAAGUCUUUAAUAACACUAGAGGCUCAUGACGGUACUGUAAGAAUAAGCACCGGCUAACU
RNAcentral lists this ribosomal RNA (477 nucleotides) under uncultured bacterium. Its description in RNAcentral is "bacterial SSU rRNA". It matches the Rfam family "Bacterial small subunit ribosomal RNA", at positions 30 to 502 of the family's 1533-position model. The record is from RNAcentral.